This 134-nucleotide unclassified non-coding RNA is filed under the name soil metagenome. RNAcentral describes it as "partial internal transcribed spacer 1". The record is from RNAcentral.
CGUUCCUGUUGGAUGGUACGGCUACCGCAGCUGGUGCAAUUGCAUCCGUAGCAGCAUCGAUGAAGAACGCAAAUGGUGGGUCACCUACCACACUGGAGACAAGACUGGUGGUACUGACUUCCGCCGUGCAGUCU